RNAcentral lists this ribosomal RNA (460 nucleotides) under uncultured bacterium. Its description in RNAcentral is "partial 16S ribosomal RNA". It matches the Rfam family "Bacterial small subunit ribosomal RNA", at positions 338 to 795 of the family's 1533-position model. The record is from RNAcentral.
CCUACGGGAGGCAGCAGUGAGGAAUAUUGGUCAAUGGGCGGAAGCCUGAACCAGCCAAGUAGCGUGCAGGAUGACGGCCCUACGGGUUGUAAACUGCUUUUAUCCGGGAAUAACGCGCCUUACGUGUAGGGCUUUGCAUGUACCGUAUGAAUAAGGAUCGGCUAAUUCCGUGCCAGCAGCCGCGGUAAUACGGAAGGUCCGGGCGUUAUCCGGAUUUAUUGGGUUUAAAGGGGGCGCAGGCGGCAUGUUAAGGGUGCUGUGAAAUGUCCGGGCUCAACCCGGGCCUUGCAGCGCGAACUGGCGUGCUAGAGUCGGCGGAAAGCAGGCGGAAUGCGUGGUGUAGCGGUGAAAUGCUUAGAUAUGACGAAGAACUCCGAUUGCGAAGGCAGCUUGCUGCAGCGGAACUGACGCUGAUGCUCGAAAGCGCGGGUAUCGAACAGGAUUAGAUACCCCUGUAGUC